GAUGAACGCUGGCGGCGUGCCUAAUACAUGCAAGUCGAGCGAACAGAUAAGGAGCUUGCUCCUUUGACGUUAGCGGCGGACGGGUGAGUAACACGUGGGUAACCUACCUAUAAGACUGGGAUAACUUCGGGAAACCGGAGCUAAUACCGGAUAACAUUUGGAACCGCAUGGUUCUAAAGUGAAAGAUGGUUUUGCUAUCACUUAUAGAUGGACCCGCGCCGUAUUAGCUAGUUGGUAAGGUAACGGCUUACCAAGGCGACGAUACGUAGCCGACCUGAGAGGGUGAUCGGCCACACUGGAACUGAGACACGGUCCAGACUCCUACGGGAGGCAGCAGUAGGGAAUCUUCCGCAAUGGGCGAAAGCCUGACGGAGCAACGCCGCGUGAGUGAUGAAGGGUUUCGGCUCGUAAAACUCUGUUAUUAGGGAAGAACAAGCGUGUAAGUAACUGUGCACGUCUUGACGGUACCUAAUCAGAAAGCCACGGCUAACUACGUG
RNAcentral lists this ribosomal RNA (497 nucleotides) under uncultured bacterium. RNAcentral's name for it is "partial 16S ribosomal RNA". It matches the Rfam family "Bacterial small subunit ribosomal RNA", at positions 28 to 507 of the family's 1533-position model. The record is from RNAcentral.